This 497-nucleotide ribosomal RNA is filed under the name uncultured bacterium. RNAcentral describes it as "partial 16S ribosomal RNA". It matches the Rfam family "Bacterial small subunit ribosomal RNA", at positions 28 to 507 of the family's 1533-position model. The record is from RNAcentral.
GAUGAACGCUGGCGGCGUGCCUAAUACAUGCAAGUCGAGCGAACAGACGAGGAGCUUGCUCCUCUGACGUUAGCGGCGGACGGGUGAGUAACACGUGGAUAACCUACCUAUAAGACUGGGAUAACUUCGGGAAACCGGAGCUAAUACCGUAUAAUAUAUUGAACCGCAUGGUUCAAUAGUGAAAGACGGUUUUGCUGUUACUUAUAGAUGGAUCCUCGCCGCAUUAGCUAGUUGGUAAGGUAACGGCUUACCAAGGCAACGAUUCGUAGCCGACCUGAGAGGGGGAUCGGCCACACUGGAACGGAGAAACGGUCCAGACUCCUACGGGAGGCAGAAGUAGGGAAUCUUCCGCAAGGGGCGAAAGCCUGACGGAGCAACGCCGCGGGAGGGAGGAAGGUCUUCGGAUCGUAAAACUCUGUUAUUAGGGAAGAACAGAUGGGGAAGUAACUAUGCACGUCUUGACGGUACCUAAUCAGAAAGCCACGGCUAACUACGUG